This 116-nucleotide ribosomal RNA is filed under the name Pteropus alecto (black flying fox). The record is from RNAcentral. Lineage: Eukaryota; Metazoa; Chordata; Mammalia; Chiroptera; Pteropodidae.
GUCUAUGGCCAUGCCACCUUGAACAAGCCCAAUAUCUGAUCUCGGAAGCUAAGCAGGGUCGGACCUGGUUAGUACUUGGAUGGGAGACCACCUAGGAAGGCCAGGUGCUGUAGGCA